GUGUCAGCAGCCGCGGUAAUACGAAGGGGGCUAGCGUUGUUCGGAAUUACUGGGCGUAAAGCGCGCGUAGGCGGACGCUUAAGUCAGGGGUGAAAGGCCGGGGCUCAACCCCGGAACGGCCCUUGAUACUGGGCGUCUGGAGUCCGGAAGAGGUUGGUGGAAUUCCGAGUGUAGAGGUGAAAUUCGUAGAUAUUCGGAGGAACACCAGAGGCGAAGGCGGCCAACUGGUCCGGUACUGACGCUGAGGCGCGAAAGCGUGGGGAGCAAACAGGAUUAGAUACCCUGGUAGUCC
This 292-nucleotide ribosomal RNA is filed under the name uncultured bacterium. RNAcentral's name for it is "partial 16S ribosomal RNA". It matches the Rfam family "Bacterial small subunit ribosomal RNA", at positions 505 to 796 of the family's 1533-position model. The record is from RNAcentral.